AGUGCAAAGGGAUACACUGGACUGCAGCAGGUUAUAAAAUACAAAGGAAAAAAGACACUGCCAUUUUUAUACGACCGCAAAAUUUGAAAAAUUUUUCGUCGUAUAUUGCUAUCACGUUGGCGUCGGCGUCGUCGUCGUCGUCCGGCGUCCGAAUACUUUUAGUUUUCGCACUCUAACUUUAGUAAAAGUGAAUGGAAAUCUAUGAAAUUUUAACACAAGGUUUAUGACCACAAAAGGAAGGUUGGUAUUGAUUUUGGGAGUUUUGGUCCCAACAUUUUAGGAAUUAGGGGCCAAAAAGGGCCCAAAUAAGCAUUUUCUUGGUUUUCGCACUAAAACUUUAGUUUAAGUUAAUAGAAAUCUAUGAAAUUUUGACACAAGGUUUAUGACCACAAAAGAAAGGUUGGGAUUGAUUUUGGGAGUUUUGGUUCCAACAGUUUAGGAAUUAG
Molecule: long non-coding RNA, 446 nt
Filed under: Mytilus galloprovincialis (Mediterranean mussel)
Lineage: Eukaryota; Metazoa; Mollusca; Bivalvia; Mytilida; Mytilidae
Source: RNAcentral